This 401-nucleotide ribosomal RNA is filed under the name Escherichia coli. RNAcentral's name for it is "bacterial SSU rRNA". It matches the Rfam family "Bacterial small subunit ribosomal RNA", at positions 1 to 398 of the family's 1533-position model. The record is from RNAcentral. Lineage: Bacteria; Pseudomonadati; Pseudomonadota; Gammaproteobacteria; Enterobacterales; Enterobacteriaceae.
AAAUUGAAGAGUUUGAUCAUGGCUCAGAUUGAACGCUGGCGGCAGGCCUAACACAUGCAAGUCGAACGGUAACAGAAAGCAGCUUGCUGCUUUGCUGACGAGUGGCGGACGGGUGAGUAAUGUCUGGGAAACUGCCUGAUGGAGGGGGAUAACUACUGGAAACGGUAGCUAAUACCGCAUAACGUCGCAAGACCAAAGAGGGGGACCUUCGGGCCUCUUGCCAUCGGAUGUGCCCAGAUGGGAUUAGCUUGUUGGUGGGGUAACGGCUCACCAAGGCGACGAUCCCUAGCUGGUCUGAGAGGAUGACCAGCCACACUGGAACUGAGACACGGUCCAGACUCCUACGGGAGGCAGCAGUGGGGAAUAUUGCACAAUGGGCGCAAGCCUGAUGCAGCCAUGCC